This 217-nucleotide ribosomal RNA is filed under the name uncultured bacterium. Its description in RNAcentral is "partial 16S ribosomal RNA". It matches the Rfam family "Bacterial small subunit ribosomal RNA", at positions 122 to 334 of the family's 1533-position model. The record is from RNAcentral.
UAACCUGCCUGGUAGCGGGGGAUAACUAUUGGAAACGAUAGCUAAUACCGCAUAAUAGUAGAUAUCGCAUGAUAACUGCUUAAAAGGUGCAAUUGCAUCACUACCAGAUGGACCUGCGUUGUAUUAGCUAGUUGGUGAGGUAACGGCUCACCAAGGCAACGAUACAUAGCCGACCUGAGAGGGUGAUCGGCCACACUGGGACUGAGACACGGCCCAG